UUUUAACUCUUUCCCUUAAAUCUCUUUUAGACUUAUGAGAAAUUUGAAUUUGAAUGCUGUAUUGUUUGUCAUGUAAGACAUCAGAAAGACAAAAAGAAAGAAAAAUCUUAGAAUUUUAAUUUACAAACAGAGUAUAUGAGGAUAUGAAAUUCUGAUUUAUUGCUCUGUUUGGUGGGUUAUGUGUUUCAGGUUGCGGUGGCACAUACUAUUGGACAUGUAGCAGCAACUGUGAGCAUGUCGAAAGUUGCAGUUUCAUUCACUCAUAUCAUUAAGAGUGGUGAACCUGCUUUCAGUGUUUUGGUUUCAAGAUUUCUAUUAGGGGAGGCAUUCCCAUUACCAGUUUACUUGUCACUAUUGCCAAUUAUUGGAGGUUGUGCACUUUCAGCAGCAACUGAGCUCAAUUUCAACAUGACCGGUAAGAGAAAAUGAUUACGUUUUCCCCUAUAAUAGAAAUUUUGUACUCAGGCAUUGAGUUUGUGUUGCUAUGUGUUUCAGGUUUCAUGGGGGCCAUGAUAUCUAAUUUAGCAUUCGUGUUUCGAAACAUAUUUUCAAAGAAAGGGAUGAAGGGAAAGUCUGUUAGUGGGAUGAAUUACUACGCAUGUUUGUCAAUGUUGUCUUUAUUGAUUCUUACACCUUUUGCAAUUGCCGUUGAGGGUCCUCAGCUCUGGGCAGUUGGCUGGCAGAAGGCAGUUUCACAAAUUGGACCUAAUUUUGUCUGGUAAAAACUUAUUGCUUUUAUUUGGAUGGUUACACUCUCCAAAUUUUCUUUUUAUGUGUGAUAAGUGAUCUUGUUGCUAAUAAAAAAUGUGUUUAUUUUGAAUUUUCAUAGGUGGGUGGUAGCUCAAAGUGUCUUCUACCACUUGUAUAAUCAGGUUUCAUACAUGUCUCUGGAUCAAAUUUCUCCCUUGACAUUUAGCAUCGGAAACACAAUGAAGCGAAUUUCGGUUAUAGUCUCUUCCAUCAUCAUCUUCCACACACCUGUUCAGCCUGUCAAUGCCCUUGGAGCUGCCAUUGCAAUCCUUGGAACCUUUCUUUAUUCACAGGUAUAUUUUCCCUUUCAAAGUUGUUUUUGAAAUUUUGGGACCAAGGUUUGUUACCUGGCUUUCUAACUCUUUCUUGUUUUAACGGUUAAUAAUGUAUGUUUUGAGCAGGCAAAGCAGUGAGAUUUGAAGAUUUUGGUGAACUUACAUAAACAUAAAAUGUUGAUGUUGCGGAUGAUCCUUAUUGAAGCUACAAUUUUAUUCUUUAUUGAUACUAUCAACUAGUAGAUUUUAUCUAAAUUUCUUUAUUUUUGUACCGUUUUAUUCCUUGAUAGAUAAUAAUAACUAGUAGAUUUUACUUAAAAUUUCUUUCAAUUUUUAUAAAUUGUAAAAAAAAUAAUAAUAAAUUUACUGAAUGUCAUGAUCGAUAGUAUCUAGAAACUACAAAGAAAAAAUGUAAAACAAAAAAAUGUCUAAAAGAACAUAUUAACUAAAGGAAAAUGUUACAUGGCAUGCUAUUAUUUUCGAAAUUGAAAGUCAAACUUAAUAACCUUUCAUAGACAUAAUUAUCUCUUUUUCAAAUAUCCUAUUAACUAAAAUAUCUCAUUCUUGAUUUCAAAAAAUGGUAUAAGUUCGAUCGUUCGAUCAACUUGAACCAGUUUUAAGUGUUUUUCAUGUGAAUAGGAAGGUUUUAGAAUUAUUGAUUUUACCUUUUCUUUAAUAAAAACACUAUUUUAAAAUAAUAGCAUUUUAAUUUUCUUUAAAUAGAUCAAGAACAAUUAAGUUUCGUUUUAUUGAUAUUUUUAUUUACUUUUUAACUUAUGUUAUUUAUUCAAAAAAUACAUAUUUUAUAUAUAAAUAAAUUAGUAGGUAUAAAAAAUACAUGUUUCAAUUUUUUAUUAAUUUGAUUAUAAAUUUUGAAUAUUAAACAUAUAUUAAAAUAACAAAAUAAAUUAAAUUAAAUAAGUAAUUAAAAUCAAACCCAAAUAAAUUAAACCAAUUUUACUCACAUUCAAUCAAUUUAUUCGAUUAAAAAGAAUUAAUACUACUCAUGGUUAGUGCUGCACGCCUUAUUCUAGAGCCCGGUAUGCUUGCAACUUGCUCCAGCCGGAAAGACGUGUCUUGGAGCAACCGGUAAUUCGUUUUAGAAAGGGAUAGAAUGUUUGACAUUGAACCUCCCUGUUUCAUAUCAUGAAUUGAAAUUCAUCGAUGAGAAUGAAAUGGAAAAAGAGCUACGUGCAGUUCUGAGCAAAACAAGUGCUUUGAAGGAAUUUGAAGUACAUCUAUGGAACAAAAAAACGAGUUAUGGAUCUUGGAGAAGAGAAUGAAGUUUCAGGAAAUGGUUUAUUUUAAAUGAAUGACAGAAUCAGACAGAUAAUUAGUGUUGCUUGCUCUGAAUGCAUUGCGAAUGCUGAUAGGUUUUACAUUUGCAAACUUGUGAGGGUAAAGGAUAUGAUGCCAAACUCUUCGAUCAUGGUCUAAUUCCCUAUCCCAAAGGAUCGUGGCCACUUGCAGCCAUGAGGGGUUGGUGAAUUGUUUACAAUAUCACACCCCAAUCACCAAGCGAAAGCCUACACCACUUCAUUGGCUGUUGGGAUUGUUUUGGCAACUCUCUAUGACCCGUCUGCAACUUCCCAUUGGGUCCAAAGGACACGCACCGGCUGCACAUGCGGAAAGCUCACGUGACUAUACAACACUUACAUCCCUUUCCCGCCUAACCCCAACACCAAUUGCUGACCCAGUUUACAGCCCCUUCCGUCCAAUGUCACAACAAAGACACCACGAACAAAACAAAAACUGCCACUGUUGAAAUGUCAAUGCCAAUUGUCCCAACUGGAGCACCUUCUUUUACACCUUGCAGCGGCCGUCAAAACUGAUUUUGCUUUUCCCAGUUAGAAAAUUUUUUGAUCCGUUCAAAUGAUCAACGAUCAGAAACGCAACUUGACAACAAGUGUUGAUAUGGGUCUGUCUCUUUCAGUAAGAUUUUUUUUUUCUUUUCUUCUAGCUUGGAAUCAAUCAACAAAACUCAGGAGAUUGUCUGUACAUGCUCAAUCGUGGGAGCUGCUGCAAGCAAAUUAGCGGUGAAGAAUUGAGAGCAUGGCAUGGGCUGUUACCUCAGUCUGAGAUACAGUUUUUGGGAACUUGAUGGCUGCAUUGCAUCUCUGAUUUGUUCCAAAUUGGAAAUAGAAAUAGUGGCUGCAAUGGUUUCUGUGGGGCAGAAGGAGUGGGAAAAUAUCACGGGAAAGUUCUCAAUCCUUUUGGUUGCAACAAGCUAGCAACCGUGAAUUUGUCAAUCAGGGAGGGGAGCUUGAUUUGACCAUAUAUUCAAGAAACACAGUGGGAAAUUUCAUGCAAGGUUUGCAGCUGGAAAAUGUUUGAGAGAAAAUCAUGGCUGAUAUUUUUUCUAGUUUUCUGAUAGUUACAAGAUUCAGUCAGGACAAAUAGUAUGAAGUCUACGAUUUCAAUUUGCACACAUGUACACGGUGCAUAAAGUGGCAUGUUUUACUAAUGUGGAAAGUCCAAGUCUUUCCUUCCCCUAUCAUUUUCAAUAUUUUUUUAAAAAAUAAAUAAUGGUUUUCGAGAUGGUAAUAAUUCAUGUAUUGUUAGUAUAUAAAUUUAUACAUUAUCACUUCUUAGAAAAAGAAAAAAAUUUAUAUAACAUAAAAUUACAUUUAUUACAAAAAUUAAUGAUAUAUAUAUAUAUAUAACUCUAAUUAAGUAUGAGACUUAUUUAGAUAAAUAGGUACAUUGGAUAUGAAAAGAUUCAAAAGUUGAAAAAUAUAGUAAUAUUCACAUAUAUUUUCAUAAUAAAAAUUAUUUAUUUUAAAAAAUAUUUUAUAACCAAUUAUAAUGUAUAAGUAUUGUAUAUUAAUAUUGCAUCAAAUAUAACUUAUUUUAAAAAUAAAAUUCUCUUGUUUUAUUAUGUUUUCCACUCAAUUUUAGAAAAAAAACACAAUUAUUAGAGACUUAAUAAAAAAUUUAAAAAAUAAGAUAUUUUUUUACAAAAAGAAAAAAAAUACUUUUAUAAUUUCGAAAAUAUCUAUCCGUGAGCAACUAAAAACCAAACCACCAGCGAAAAACCCCUUGCCGCGUCAUACAGUCAUCUUAUUUCCUCUGCUCUCCUCUGUUCUCCCCUAUAAAAUCCCCUCUCUUCUCUGCCACUCUUUUCUCCGCAAGACAAACCUUUCCUUUCCUUCUUGUAUUCUCUUACCUUAUUCUCUCCUCUAGUUAAACUCAAUUCUCUUGCAUUCAUAUUUGAAACUCUGCAUUGUGUUUCUUUAAAAAAAAACCAUGAUUUCUUCAAUAAAACACUCCACAUCUGCUUUCAAUUCCACAAGUUUCUUUUCCAAGAAACGUUCAAUCACCAGGCCACAAUUCUCCCCAUUACCCGUUAUCAAGAACGUCCAUAAUGGCUUCCCCAACCAAUCUUGCUCUUAUCAAAAACCUCUGCACGUUGCCGCCAUUGAGAAUCUUGCAAUAUUGAAAAAAACCCAGCAGAGGAAAAUAGAGUGUCAGGCUUAUGAAGCUGACAGGUCUAGGCCUCUGGACAUAAAUAUUGAGUUACCAGAGAUAAAGAUUGGGAUUUACUUUGCUACUUGGUGGGCUUUGAAUGUGGUUUUCAAUAUAUAUAACAAGAAGGUUUUGAAUGUCUUUCCUUAUCCUUGGCUUACCUCUACUCUGUCUCUGGCCGCUGGCUCUCUUAUGAUGCUUAUAUCUUGGGUCACGAGGGUUGCUGAUGCUCCUAAGACCCAUUUUGAGUUUUGGAAGACCCUUUUCCCUGUAAGUUUUAACUCUUAUAACUCUUUCCCUUAAAUCGCUUUUGGACUUACUUUAAAGAAAAGAUGAGAAAUUUGAAUUUGAAUGCUGUUUUUUUUGUCAUGUAAGACGUCAGAAAGACAAAAAGAAAGAAAAAGCUUGGAAUUUUAAGUUACAAAAUAGAGUAUGUGAAGGUAAGAAAUGCUGAUUUACUUCUCUGUUUGGUGGGCUAUGUGUUUCAGGUUGCGGUGGCACAUACUAUAGGGCAUGUAGCAGCAACUGUGAGCAUGUCAAAAGUUGCAGUUUCAUUCACUCAUAUCAUUAAGAGUGGUGAACCUGCUUUCAGUGUUUUGGUUUCAAGAUUUCUGUUAGGGGAGGCAUUUCCAUUACCAGUUUACUUGUCACUCUUGCCAAUUAUUGGAGGUUGUGCAC
This 5168-nucleotide long non-coding RNA is filed under the name Theobroma cacao (cacao). RNAcentral's name for it is "long non-coding RNA (TCAC_LNC004113)". The record is from RNAcentral. Lineage: Eukaryota; Viridiplantae; Streptophyta; Magnoliopsida; Malvales; Malvaceae.